GGAUGCGAUCAUACCAGCACUAAAGCACCGGAUCCCAUCAGAACUCCGAAGUUAAGCGUGCUUGGGCGAGAGUAGUACUAGGAUGGGUGACCUCCUGGGAAGUCCUCGUGUUGCAUUUC
Molecule: ribosomal RNA, 119 nt
Filed under: Sorghum bicolor (sorghum)
Lineage: Eukaryota; Viridiplantae; Streptophyta; Magnoliopsida; Poales; Poaceae
Also listed under: 4 other names
Source: RNAcentral